Molecule: long non-coding RNA, 1057 nt
Organism: Phoenix dactylifera (date palm)
Lineage: Eukaryota; Viridiplantae; Streptophyta; Magnoliopsida; Arecales; Arecaceae
Source: RefSeq, a predicted model, not a curated record
UCCUUGCAAGUCGGAUGGCUUUUGGGAUCUUCCGGAUAUCGUUCGACAUGAGGGUUAUGUGGCUGGUCUCCAUUGCAACUGCAGAACCUGAUAUGCCCAUUGAGAUCCCCACAUCGGCCAUGGCCAAUGCAGAAGUUCUGCAUGAAGAUCUUCAAUGGCAUGCCCUAGCUAUCAAACAGCAACAAUACUAUUACAAGGACUGCAGGACUGUAACAUGGUGCAAGUACCUAGAAAUCUAUAUGUGAGACCCCGUCCGGCAGGUGUCAGAGAGAGUAAAUACUCCAACUGGUACAGUUCCAGAGAAGACGUGCCCGACUGUAACUCCUUCCUUCAUGUCCACCAAUUCUGGAACUAAAGUUCAAGGCCAAAUGUCACAGAAAUUCUUGGAAACAGGGCGAUCUCACUGUCGAUCGAACAAAACUCGACAACAGCAAACUCUCCUCUUGUGAUGGUCCCUGUCUUGUCAAAAGCCACUACUUCAAUCCUGGCCAGGGCUUCAAGAACAUCCCCUCCUUUGAUGAGAAGCCCUACCCUUGCUGCCUUCAAGAGUGCACAGAAGGUUGCAACAGGAGUGGAUAGCACUAGUGCGCAUGGGCAGGCACUCACAAGAAGGACCAGGGCUAAUUGGAACCAGUGUUUGGGAUUAUGGACUCUCAUUAUCGAAGGAAUCACUGCAAAACCUGCUGCCGCUAUCACCACAGCUGCAGUGUGCCAGUGUGCAUAGUCAGAAAAAAAAAAAGAGUUAAGAGUUCAUAUAAGAUAUCUGCAUCAGGUGAUAUAAAACAGCAUAUGCUCAAUGCUGUAAGUUUUUAAGUUAAAAAGUGUUAAAUGUGUCAGCACUCACUAUUUUUUUUCUUCUUCUUUUAUUGGUUGAAAGAAGUAUUCAUACUGUACUGGUACAGAGUAUUCUGUACAUCCAACCAGCUUAUGUACCUAGUGUACCGAUAUAGUGAUAGAUCGGUACUGGUAUGAAAUCUGAUACUGAGAUGGCAUACCUCGAGUAUUAUUAUAUUUGAGGAGGCGAGAUUUUUUAUUUUUAUUUUUUGGUGGGGAGCAA